AACGGAGGGGGCGAGAGUUUUCCGGAAUUACUGGGCGUAAAGGGCGCGUAGGCGGUUCUUUAAGUCAGAGGUGAAAACUGUCGGCUCAACCGGCAGCCUGCCUUUGAAACUGGAGGACUUGAGGGCAGGAGAGGGGAGUGGAAUUCCCAGUGUAGCGGUGAAAUGCGUAGAUAUUGGGAGGAACACCAGUGGCGAAGGCGGCUCUAUGGCCUGUUAAGGAAGCUGAGGCGAGCAAGCGUGGGGAUCACACAGGCGGCGAUAACCCGGUAGUCC
Molecule: ribosomal RNA, 273 nt
Filed under: uncultured bacterium
Lineage: Bacteria
Description: partial 16S ribosomal RNA
Rfam family: Bacterial small subunit ribosomal RNA
Source: RNAcentral